RNAcentral lists this non-coding RNA (88 nucleotides) under Azotobacter beijerinckii. Lineage: Bacteria; Pseudomonadati; Pseudomonadota; Gammaproteobacteria; Pseudomonadales; Pseudomonadaceae. The record is from RNAcentral.
UGUUAUGGCGGCUGUGCGCGGGCAGGCUUCGGCCUGGCCGGGUUCCUAGAGUCCCGGUUUCUCACCCCGCGUACAGUCCGCCACCAGU